AGAACUUAGCAGAGAUGCUUUUGGGUGCCCUUUCGGGAACUCUGAGACAGGUGCUGCAUGGCUGUCGUCAGCUCGUGUUGUGAAAUGUUGGGUUAAGUCCCGCAACGAGCGCAACCCUUUAUCCUUUUGUUGCCAGCGGUCCGGCCGGGAACUCAAAGGAGACUGCCAGUGAUAAACUGGAGGAAGGUGGGGAUGACGUCAAGUCAUCAUGGCCCUUACGAGUAGGGCUACACACGUGCUACAAUGGCGCAUACAAAGAGAAGCGACCUCGCGAGAGCAAGCGGACCUCAUAAAGUGCGUCGUAGUCCGGAUUGGAGUCUGCAACUCGACUCCAUGAAGUCGGAAUCGCUAGUAAUCGUGGAUCAGAAUGCCACGGUGAAUACGUUCCCGGGCCUUGUACACACCGCCCGUCACACCAUGGGAGUGGGUUGCAAAAGAAGUAGGUAGCUUAACCUUCGGGAGGGCGCUUACCACUUUGUGAUUCAUGACGUGGGGUGAAGUCGUAACAAGGUAAGCGUAGUGCU
RNAcentral lists this ribosomal RNA (524 nucleotides) under uncultured bacterium. RNAcentral's name for it is "bacterial SSU rRNA". It matches the Rfam family "Bacterial small subunit ribosomal RNA", at positions 992 to 1509 of the family's 1533-position model. The record is from RNAcentral.